RNAcentral lists this long non-coding RNA (628 nucleotides) under Lotus japonicus. RNAcentral's name for it is "long non-coding RNA (LJAP_LNC000228)". Lineage: Eukaryota; Viridiplantae; Streptophyta; Magnoliopsida; Fabales; Fabaceae. The record is from RNAcentral.
GUGUUUUGCCGUAACAGCAAACAAACCCGUAAAACAAAACAUAAAUAUAAACUUAAACAACUUCCCUUAAACAAGGCCCAAAUAGAAACAAUUUUUUGCAUAUCUGGAAUUUUGGACAUCCAAGACCCUUUUUCUUCCCUUUAUGCUUUCUCUCAAGAAAAACAACAACAGCCUUUCUCAGACCAUUUACAAAGAAAGUGACUUCGUCCCCUUUGGUUAACCUGUUGUCCCUGCAGAACUCGUACCAACCUGUCCCCAACAUUGCUUUUCUGUGAUUUUUGGAGUCGAAAACCAGCGACCAUUGUCUAAUUGUAAUUUCAACGGGUGAAAAUCCGGAAAGAUUUUGCACAUCAGCAUAGACAUCGAUCUGUUCAGGCUUGUUUUGAAAAUGUGCCUCCACUAUGGAUGCCGGGAUAUUCUAUAGAUAAUAUAAAUAUUAGAAGACCAAAGCAUGCAAACAGGGGGAUUGACAAAUUUAAAUAGUUUGGUUUCAAAGCAUUAACACGCACCAGGACCUGAUUGCCAGAUGCUUGCAGGUUGUCAGAGUAACACUCCAGCAGUUGUCAUCCUUUAUGUCCCACUCCUCGUACUCGGAAUCAUCUGGAGUAUAUUGGUUGGGGCUCUUCCG